GGUUUCCAUUCUUUAGGCGUAGAAUCCUGGAGAGUGAAUGCCCGGAGAAUAGUAACCAGAUGACAAAAGUGAAACAAGGUGAAUAAGUCAAGCUUGACUGGUUGAAGAGAGAGCAGAAAUAGGCCAGGACCACAGGUUUAUCAAUAGGCAGUGGGCCCCACAGGAAAACAGAGGCGACGCGAUGCGAGUUCAGCAUGUACACUGUGAGAGUAUGGUGCUCGUGUCCGCUGCGCAACUGGGCGACACGGCCACAGUUUUGGGGUAUGGUCGUGCCUUGGCCAUUUUAGAGUCAGUUGUUCAAGUAGGCAGGAUCUUAGGAGUCUAGCCUAAUCUAAGCAUGAUUGUCUUCUCUUUUAUUACUCUCUUGGUCUAGUAAAGUUUGCCACAUUUUAACAAGAUACGAUUUAAAGAAUUGUAAUGAAAACUGGGUUAAAAUGUUAGCGGAAUGUGAGUAUUACUUUUGUAUAUUAGUUUUAUAAUAAAAUGUGAGGGAGAAUGAGUU
Salvia splendens (bonfire salvia) is the source of this 502-nucleotide long non-coding RNA. RefSeq lists it as uncharacterized. NCBI's taxonomy places the organism in Eukaryota, Viridiplantae, Streptophyta, Magnoliopsida, Lamiales, Lamiaceae. The record is from RefSeq and is a predicted model, not a curated record. The transcript is spliced from 2 exons.